CUAAUUUGGAGGCACUCCAAGUGCAUACUGGUGUAACUGACAGGAGAAUUUGGCCCUGUAUCUCUACAAGAAAUAAUUUCCUAGAUGGAUAGGAGUCCUGGUACCAAGAUUGCAUAUUCAUAAAGGUUUUUCAAGUGCCAUGAACAACUGCUCUACUUCUGUCCAGAUUUUAAUUUCCAGCGAGAGUGGGAAGAAGAAGAAGAGAACAGAGUUCAUUCAUUUCAGAAGAGUCAGUAGUUAA
Molecule: long non-coding RNA, 241 nt
Filed under: Cyanistes caeruleus (blue tit)
Lineage: Eukaryota; Metazoa; Chordata; Aves; Passeriformes; Paridae
Description: lncRNA (ENSCCEG00000012740.1)
Source: RNAcentral